AGUGAACGCUGGCGGUAGGCCUAACACAUGCAAGUCGAACGGCAGCACAGAGGAGCUUGCUCCUUGGGUGGCGAGUGGCGGACGGGUGAGGAUACAUCGGAAUCUACUCUGUCGGGGGGGAUAACGUAGGGAAACUUACGCUAAUACCGCAUACGACCUUCGGGUGAAAGCAGGGGACCUUCGGGCCUUGCGCGAUUGAAUGAGCCGAUGUCGGAUUAGCUAGUUGGCGGGGUAAAGGCCCACCAAGGCGACGAUCCGUAGCUGGUCUGAGAGGAUGAUCAGCCACACUGGAACUGAGACACGGUCCAGACUCCUACGGGAGGCAGCAGUGGGGAAUAUUGGACAAUGGGCGCAAGCCUGAUCCAGCCAUACCGCGUGGGUGAAGAAGGCCUUCGGGUUGUAAAGCCCUUUUGUUGGGAAAGAAAUCCAGCUGGCUAAUACCCGGUUGGGAUGACGGUACCCAAAGAAUAAGCACCGGCUAACUUCGUGCCAGCCGCCGCGGUAA
RNAcentral lists this ribosomal RNA (505 nucleotides) under uncultured bacterium. Its description in RNAcentral is "partial 16S ribosomal RNA". It matches the Rfam family "Bacterial small subunit ribosomal RNA", at positions 29 to 523 of the family's 1533-position model. The record is from RNAcentral.